This 301-nucleotide ribosomal RNA is filed under the name uncultured bacterium. RNAcentral describes it as "partial 16S ribosomal RNA". It matches the Rfam family "Bacterial small subunit ribosomal RNA", at positions 509 to 807 of the family's 1533-position model. The record is from RNAcentral.
CAGUAGCCGCGGUAAUACCAGGGGGGCAAGCGUUGUUCGGAAUUAUUGGGCGUAAAGGGUGCGUAGGCGGUUUGGCAAGUUUGGUGUGAAAUCUUCGGGCUCAACUCGAAGUCUGCAUCGAAAACUGCCGGGCUUGAGUAUGGGAGAGGUGAGUGGAAUUUCCGGUGUAGCGGUGAAAUGCGUAGAUAUCGGAAGGAACACCUGUGGCGAAAGCGGCUCACUGGACCAUAACUGACGCUGAUGCACGAAAGCUAGGGGAGCAAACAGGAUUAGAUACCCCCGUAGUCCCUGUCUCUUAUAC